RNAcentral lists this unclassified non-coding RNA (1739 nucleotides) under Centruroides sculpturatus (bark scorpion). RNAcentral describes it as "uridine-cytidine kinase 2-B-like, transcript variant X5". The record is from RNAcentral. Lineage: Eukaryota; Metazoa; Arthropoda; Arachnida; Scorpiones; Buthidae.
GCAUCGAUCGAUGGAUAGUAUGCGGAGUCGAGACUGAUGACCACGUUAAGUUAGAUUUUCGGCGAUUAUGCAAGAUGGAAGAAGUGAAGAGUCGCAAUGGGCCGAAAGUGUACGAAAAUAUGAACGGUUUCGAUGACAAAACACCGUUUCUUAUAGGAGUUGCCGGAGGGACGGCUUCUGGAAAGUCGACCGUAUGUCAGAAGAUUGUGGAGAAACUCGGGCAAGAUUCUAUAGAUCAACACCAUCGAAGAGUGGUGUGUAUAAGUCAGGACAGCUUUUAUAACGAAUUAACGGACGAAGACAAAGCUUUGGCGUUUAAAGGGAUGUACAACUUUGAUCAUCCCGAUGCAUUUGACAAUGAUCUGAUCUACAAGACGCUGAAGGACAUUUUAAAUGAAAAGAUUGUUCAAGUGCCAGUUUAUGACUUUAUCUCCAAUUCGAGAUUUUUUUUCAAUGGUACUAGGAAGAAAGACGAAUUCAUCACGAUCUAUCCGGCAGAUGUUGUGCUGUUCGAAGGAAUCCUUAUAUUUUAUUUCCAGAAGAUUAGAGACCUUUUCCAUAUGAAACUUUUUGUUGAUACUGAUCCAGAUACUAGGCUUUCCAGAAGAGUCUUAAGAGAUACAAGAGAGAGGGGGAGGGAACUGGAACAGAUUCUAAAUCAAUAUACUAAGUUUGUCAAGCCAGCUUUUGAAGAAUUUUGCUUGCCAUCUAAGAAAUAUGCCGAUGUUAUCAUUCCACGAGGUGCGGAUAAUGAAGUUGCUAUCGACCUUAUAGCGAAGAACAUCCAGGAACUGUUACGUCAAUCCCACAACGGACUGCCAUGUUGUCACCAGUGUAACUCGGAUGCGCUUGUUAACACGCCGUCUCGCUAGUGCUCCAUCCAGUCCUGCAUGUCCCAGAAUGUUUUUCUCCUAUUUUUUAUACUAAGUGCACUUGACGUUUGCUUUCAAUGUGUUUUUCACCUGCUAGUAAUUCUUUGGGUGUUAGCCUGUCAGAGCAAGUAAAUAUUGUUUUUGUUUGUUUAUUUUUAGAAAGACAAUCCCAUUAUCUUUCUUUCUGUGAUAUAUAAUUUACUAUUGUAUAACUCGUUGGUUUUUAGUGUUUUUUAUAUGUGCAAAUUUUGUAAUGUUAAUGUUAAAAAAAACUGGCAGAAAUUCCAGGUCGUCGGGCAAGACAGUCUGUGAUGCACAUUUUUUAUUUUAAACCCACUUAGCCAGAUUGGCUUAGUUACUUCAGAAAUUCAAUGAUUCUUUACACAAAUGCAAUGAAAUGUGGUUUAGAUAUUGGUAUGCAAGUGCCUUAUAUUAAAAUCCUUAUACUUAUACAUAAUUCUUUAUGUAUAAAUAUAGAUUUAUUUGUGGAAAAUCAGUUGAAAUCAUGUACUUUUUGUGAUAUGCUAAUUAAAAUCAAUUGCCAUCAAAUAUAAAAAAUAGUUUUUAUUUUAACAUACAUCCGUGUUGCAUAUUCAUUAAUUACAAAAUGAAGUUUAAGGGUAUUUUAAAAUAAGGAUCAUUGAAUUUUUAUUAGUAACGUAUGUACAAUAAAUUUUCUUAAUAAAUUCAGUUAACGUCAUUGACAAGAAUAGUUUCUGUAACUUAAUAUUGCUAUAGAUUUGAUUGUUCAGACGAUUCAGGACCUGCUUCGUUGUCCGAACAAGACCAUCAACAAUUUUCGACGCGAAAAGAGAGUCAGACACUUCUCGGAUUCCCAAACGAGCACUCGUCCACAUUGACCGCACG